This 1256-nucleotide long non-coding RNA is filed under the name Dromaius novaehollandiae (emu). RNAcentral's name for it is "lncRNA (ENSDNVG00000008083.1)". Lineage: Eukaryota; Metazoa; Chordata; Aves; Casuariiformes; Dromaiidae. The record is from RNAcentral.
GCGUUGGCAGACACGCACGUGCGGGGGACGCGUGCGGGGAAGGACAUGCGUGUGGCCACGCACACGCGUGUUUCAGGGCCGCGCGGCCCGUUCGCGUGUGCGACACGCUGCGCGCAUGCGUGGGGCAGCCUCGCACACGCGUGUGCAGUCCCACAUCGGCAUUCGAUGGCCCCUUCACACGUGGAGCAGCCCCCCACACGCGUGUGCAGCCCCCCACACGCGUGUAGCAGCCCCGCGUGUGCAUUUCACGGCCCUGCCACGUGCGCUGCCAUCCCACACACGCGAGUCGCAUCCCACGUGGGUGUUCAACGGCCUGUUUACACGCGUGGCCACCCCGCACACGCGUGUAGCAUCUUACAUACGUGUUCCGUGGCCAGUUUGCACAUAUGGCCACCGUGCACACGCAUGUGGCAUCCCACAUACGUGUUCAAUGGUGCCUUUGCACACGCAACUGCCACGCGCACGCAUGGGACAUGCCACAUAUGUGUUCAACAGCCUAUUCACGCGUGUAGCUGUCCUGUACAUCGUACAUGUGGCAUCGCACAUACGUGUUCGGCAGCCUAUUCACGCGUGUGGCCACCCCGCACACGUGUGUGGCAUCCCACAUAUGUGUUUGACGGGCUGUUUACACAUGUGACCAUCCCACACACGCGUGGGGCACCCCACAUAUGUGUUCAGUGGCCCAUUUACAUGCGUGGUCCUCCCGCACACGCGUGUGGCCUCCCACAUACGUGUUCAACGCCCUUUUUCUAUGCGGGGGCACUGCACACGCGUGUGGCACCCCACAUACAUGUUUACUGCCCGUUUGCACACACCGCUGCCCCACACACGCGUGCGGCAACCCACACACGUGUCCGCUGACCUGUUCACGCGUGCGGCUGCCCUGUGUAGGCGUCCGUGUGUGCAGCCACCCCGCACACGCGUGUGCCGCUCCGCACAGGUGUCUGCCGGCCUGUUCUCGCCCGCCACUGCCCCGCACACGCGUGUCGCCGCCGCACACGCGUGUCACCGCCGCACACGCGUGUCGCCGCCGCCGCUCAGCCCUCGUCGUCGCCCAGCAGCAUGUUGGGGAUCCCCUUGGAGAUGGGGAACUGGCGCCCCGAGUCCGGGCACUGCAGCACCCCCUCCACCACCUCCACCUGCGGGGGGGGGACGGCGUCAGCCUGGGGGGGGCCCCCCUUGCUUUAGGGACCCCCCCUCGCUUCAGGGACCCCCCCUCGGUUUCGGGGACCCCCCCGUUUCCCCGGGGACCCCCC